RNAcentral lists this long non-coding RNA (345 nucleotides) under Trifolium pratense (red clover). Its description in RNAcentral is "long non-coding RNA (TPRA_LNC006380)". The record is from RNAcentral. Lineage: Eukaryota; Viridiplantae; Streptophyta; Magnoliopsida; Fabales; Fabaceae.
AUCUAAUGGUGACACAACGGUAAAAUUGUGAUUCGGUGCUUAAUGUAAAUAAUUGUUAUGCGCUAUGUGUGUGUUGUUUAUAAUAUUCUAAGCAUCCGUUGGUUGAUAAUUGUGAGCAUGUGUUCAUAUAGUUGUAGUCACUUCUCAUUCUAAUUUUUUGAAUAAUGGCCAGCUAGAUUGAGGAUUCGAUGAAAACUUUAAUGUUAAUUGUGUUGUUUGAUACUAAGUUAAACUUGCAGAUAUUAACCAAAGUUUUGUUAUUAUUUGCAGCAUGGUGAUUUAGAGAUGGAUUCAAAAGACGAAGGAGAAGAUGUAAAUGGUAAAGUUCGUUUUCAUUAGCCAAAC